UCGUGCGGAAACGAGUUAUCUGAACCUUCGGGGAACGAUAACGGCGUCGAGCGGCGGACGGGUGAGUAAUGCCUAGGAAAUUGCCCUGAUGUGGGGGAUAACCAUUGGAAACGAUGGCUAAUACCGCAUGAUGCCUACGGGCCAAAGAGGGGGACCUUCGGGCCUCUCGCGUCAGGAUAUGCCUAGGUGGGAUUAGCUAGUUGGUGAGGUAAGGGCUCACCAAGGCGACGAUCCCUAGCUGGUCUGAGAGGAUGAUCAGCCUUACUGGAACUGAGACACGGUCCAGACUCCUACGGGAGGCAGCAGUGGGGAAUAUUGCACAAUGGGCGCAAGCCUGAUGCAGCCAUGCCGCGUGUAUGAACAAGGCCUUCGGGUUGUAAAGUACUUUCACUCGUGAGGAACGCGGCGUCCGUAAUAGCGGCAUCGUUUGACGUUACCCACAGAAGAAGCACCGGCUACCUCCGUGCCAGCAGCCGCGGUAAUACCGACGGUGCGAGCGUCUAUCGGAAUUACUGCGCGUAAAGCGCAUGCCGGUCGUCCGCUCACUCAGAUGUGAAGGCCCGGGGGUCCCCCUCGGCGAUGCAUUUUCAGACGGCUUGCUAGAGUCCUCGCGGCGGGGG
This 620-nucleotide ribosomal RNA is filed under the name Vibrio sp. RNAcentral's name for it is "bacterial SSU rRNA". It matches the Rfam family "Bacterial small subunit ribosomal RNA", at positions 62 to 661 of the family's 1533-position model. The record is from RNAcentral. Lineage: Bacteria; Pseudomonadati; Pseudomonadota; Gammaproteobacteria; Vibrionales; Vibrionaceae.